RNAcentral lists this ribosomal RNA (292 nucleotides) under uncultured bacterium. Its description in RNAcentral is "partial 16S ribosomal RNA". It matches the Rfam family "Bacterial small subunit ribosomal RNA", at positions 505 to 796 of the family's 1533-position model. The record is from RNAcentral.
GUGUCAGCAGCCGCGGUAAAACGUAGGUGGCGAGCGUUAUCCGGAUUCACUGGGCGUAAAGCGAGUGCAGGUGGUUUUGUAAGUUGGAUGUGAAAUUUCCCGGCUUAACCGGGAAGGGUCAUUCAAUACUGCAGGACUUGAGGGCAAAAGAGGGGGGUGGAAUUGCCGGUGUAGUGGUGAAAUGCGUAGAUAUCGGCAGGAACACCUGUGGCGAAAGCGGCCCCCUGGUUUGCUCCUGACACUCAGACUCGAAAGCUAGGGUAGCGAACGGGAUUAGAAACCCGCGUAGUCC